Chelonia mydas (Green sea turtle) is the source of this 71-nucleotide non-coding RNA. NCBI's taxonomy places the organism in Eukaryota, Metazoa, Chordata, Testudines, Cheloniidae. The record is from Rfam.
UAGGUUAUGGUAUAAUGGAAGUAUGGGGAGUUUUGAUCUCUGUAGUAUAGGUUCGAAUCCUAUUUUUCUAA